Molecule: ribosomal RNA, 464 nt
Filed under: Vreelandella stevensii
Lineage: Bacteria; Pseudomonadati; Pseudomonadota; Gammaproteobacteria; Oceanospirillales; Halomonadaceae
Description: partial 16S ribosomal RNA
Rfam family: Bacterial small subunit ribosomal RNA
Source: RNAcentral
CCUACGGGCGGCAGCAGUGGGGAAUAUUGGACAAUGGGCGAAAGCCUGAUCCAGCCAUGCCGCGUGUGUGAAGAAGGCCUUCGGGUUGUAAAGCACUUUCAGUGGGGAAGAAAGCCUUGGGGCUAAUACCCUCGAGGAAGGACAUCACCCACAGAAGAAGCACCGGCUAACUCCGUGCCAGCAGCCGCGGUAAUACGGAGGGUGCGAGCGUUAAUCGGAAUUACUGGGCGUAAAGCGCGCGUAGGCGGUCUGAUAAGCCGGUUGUGAAAGCCCCGGGCUCAACCUGGGAACGGCAUCCGGAACUGUCAGGCUAGAGUGCAGGAGAGGAAGGUAGAAUUCCCGGUGUAGCGGUGAAAUGCGUAGAGAUCGGGAGGAAUACCAGUGGCGAAGGCGGCCUUCUGGACUGACACUGACGCUGAGGUGCGAAAGCGUGGGUAGCAAACAGGAUUAGAUACCCGGGAGUC